ACUUUGUGCUGUUUUUGUACUAUUGAUAAACUCAAAUCACUGAAUUGUGUUUUUAUGAUUACGUCAGGUCUUUUAGAAGAUACAGCAAAUCCUACAUAUAAUGCACAGUUGGGAGUCACUGGUUGGAUCCCCAUGAGAAAUACUUCGAUCUGAAAAUGACUCUAACAGCAGAGCUGUAAAGCCCACAAGUUGUUUCUCAGUUUCUCUGUGAUUAUUGAACUUUUGUGAAGCAGCAAGUUCUGUGUUUUCCUAUUUUGUCAAGUUUAUUUUUGAUAAUUUAAUGCAGCAGGAAAACCAACAUUAUGAUUCUGAUAACUGGACUUAUGAUUGGUCAUCUUUUCUGUUGCAGGUGAUGACAUCACUGUCGCUGUCAAAGGCUUUGAGAAAGACGAUGUGCUCCUGCCAUGUGAUUGCCCUAAUAGAAAUUUGAAAAAGGACUUCAAGUGGCAAGUGGAAGAAGAUGAGGAGAGAGGGGUGGAGAUAAAAUUGAUCUUCAUAUAUAAUGAUGGGACCUUAGAUUUUAAAGGAAACCCGUCCCACCGAUAUGAAACAUUUUUUCAUAACGACAGCAGUAAUUGUUCUGUUCUCUUGAAAAACAUCACAAAAGAAGACCAGGGAAAAUACAGUUGUCGUUUUUAUUCUCCACAAUACAGAUUUUUUUUUGUGAAUCUUGUGGUUUUGGGGACACACAUUUUUCAGCACAGGGAGACUCACCCAAAUGGUGGAAACAUUUACCAAUGUGUUGUAAAGCUUGACAGCUACAAAGAGCCUAACAUUCAGUGGACUUUGGAUGGAAAGUGUCUGUCAACUAACAUCUCCCCCACAUACAGCCUGGAUGAAGAAACUGGUGUCCACUAUUUUCACAGUAGACUUGAGACUAAAGACGGCUUCCCCUUAGAGCCUAAAUGUGAAGUCAGUCCUCUUUGCAAACCCAGUAAUUAUUUGCAUUUAAAAGGUGAAGGCAUCACUGUUAAAGGCUUUGAGAAAGACGAUGUGCUCCUGCCAUGCAAUUGCCCUAAUAGAGAUUUGAAUAAGGAGUUCAAGUGGCAAGUGGAAGAAGAUGGGAAGAGAGGGGUGAAACCAAAAUUGAUCUUCAGAUAUAAUGAUAGGACCUUAGAUUUUAAAGACAACCUGUCCCACCGAUAUGAAACAUUUUUUCAUAACGACAGCAGUAAUUGUUCUGUUCUCUUAAAAACCAUCACAAAAGAAGACCAGGGAAAAUACAGUUGUCGUUUUUAUUCUCCACAAUACACAGUUUUCUUUCUGAAUCUCAUGCUUUGUGGUAAGUUGUACAUUGUGAUUACCAGCAAUUUUUGAGUACUCAUGAAGUUUCAUUAUUUUAACAAAAAUCAUCUCUCACCAGGGACACAUAUUGUUCAGCACAGGGAGACUCACCCAAAUGGUGGAGAUGUUUACCAAUGUGUUGUAAAGCUUGACUGCUACAAAGAACCUAACAUUCAGUGGACUUGGAAAAAUGGAACGUGUCUGUCAAAUUUAACCACGACUAACAUCUCUACUACAUACAGCCUGGUUAAAGAAACUGGCGUCCACUAUUUUCACAGUAGACUUGAGACUAAAGACAGCUUACCCUCAGAGCCU
Molecule: long non-coding RNA, 1599 nt
Organism: Oreochromis aureus
Lineage: Eukaryota; Metazoa; Chordata; Actinopteri; Cichliformes; Cichlidae
Exons: 3
Source: RefSeq, a predicted model, not a curated record